GUAAACAUGAUUUGUGGAUCCACUACCAAAUAAAUGGAAUCUUAGCAUUCAAAUGAGUUAACACUUGUUGCUCCUUCGUUCCUUCAAAAUGUGAUGCAUCAACCAAUACGUCCAAUAUUGUCUUCUUUGCCAUCACCACUACAUAUCCUUCACACAAUCACAAUCAAAAUGAUCAUCAACAACAAUUAACAAUUAUAUAUAUAUAUAUAUAGUACGCAAACUCAUUUUCUAAAGAAUAUUCAGAAAGAUCCAUACAAAAUAUAACCUCAUUCUUCCCAACUAUCACAGACAAUUAAAUCUAGAAAAAUAUAUACAUUACCUUUUACUCCUUUAUAUAUUCUUGAACACAAUCUGCCCACUCUGAUCGCACUACAUCUAUCUCUUCAUUUGAAUACUUUUCAUGAGCAUUGAACUGUUAAGUACAUAUUAUAAUUCAGAAAAUAAAACUAAGGCAAAUAAUUAUUAAGAUUGUACAAUUUAACAUACACAAUUAUUACCAAAGAUUGUAGAGAACCAAUCGUCCAAGGAUGACUAUUUAUCACUAUCUCUCUCAUGUACUUCAUCACAUAGAAACCACAUUGAGUCAAGUCUGGUUGUUUCGGAACCUACAUUAAUUUUUCAUUAAUAAUGAAUAGUUAUAAUUCCACAAGUUAUGUUUGAUUAAAUACCUUCAGUAUUGUCCAAUCAGGCUUCUUCUUUCCAUUCUUUCUCUUCUCCAUAUUGAACAACCUUAAGGCCCUUCAUAUAUAAAAAUAACGUAAUGCAUGCAUUGGCAAAAUAUGCUAGAAAUAAGAUAUAAACAGAUACAAAACAAAACUUACAAUUCCACGACUUCUUUCCAAAUUUUAUCAUGAAUUCCUUUGUAUAGGGAAUCCAAGAUAGCAAUCUCUCCCUUAUUAGGGUCAAUCACCGUAAGAAUCCAAUGAUAUCUACAUUUAAGCCACAAAAGAUUAGAGAAAUGUAAUUAAUAAUAUAAUUUAAAUAGCUUAUUAAUAAAAUUUAAAUAGCGCGAGAAUUCUUACUCCACAUUACACGGAGCUAAGAAAAUUUGAUUGAUUUUUGUAUCAAUCAACCUUUUUGACAAUUCUCAUGCUCUAAAUUCCAUAUUCUCAUUCGCAGUUUCUGCAUCACAGUAUAUACCAAUACUAAAAAUAAAAUUAGACCUUAAAUCCUAAAUCAUAAAUCAUAAAUGCAAUGUAGUAAAGGAAUCAAAUAAUAAAUUUAAAACUAAUAGAAAAUAUAAAAUACGAGAGUCAUUUAAAAAACACUAAGCCAUUAUGAUUUGUGAGGCCAAGUUAAGAUUAGUGGAGACAAAGUAGUUACAAUUACAAGAUAAAAUAAAAUGGAAUAAGCAACUAAACAAUUUAGGUAAUGAAACUUUCGUACCUUGACAAAUUUGACAACUAAGAGAAACUUAACUAAACUUUCACCACCAAUUAAUAAAACCUACAAACUAUACUUAAG
Molecule: long non-coding RNA, 1464 nt
Filed under: Salvia miltiorrhiza (redroot sage)
Lineage: Eukaryota; Viridiplantae; Streptophyta; Magnoliopsida; Lamiales; Lamiaceae
Description: long non-coding RNA (SMIL_LNC002164)
Source: RNAcentral